This 144-nucleotide unclassified non-coding RNA is filed under the name uncultured Dermateaceae. RNAcentral describes it as "sequence contains ITS2". Lineage: Eukaryota; Fungi; Ascomycota; Leotiomycetes; Helotiales; Dermateaceae. The record is from RNAcentral.
CAACCCUCAAGCUCUGCUUGGUGUUGGGCGUCACCAGUCUUGGUGUGCUCUAAAAUUAGUGGCGGCGCCGUCUGGCUCUAAGCGUAGUACAUGCUCUCGCUAUAGAUGCCCGGCGGAUGCUUGCCAGCAACCUCUAAUCUAUCA